Papaver somniferum (opium poppy) is the source of this 743-nucleotide long non-coding RNA. RefSeq lists it as uncharacterized. NCBI's taxonomy places the organism in Eukaryota, Viridiplantae, Streptophyta, Magnoliopsida, Ranunculales, Papaveraceae. The record is from RefSeq and is a predicted model, not a curated record. The transcript has 3 exons.
GAGGAUUCAUAGUUGGAACAAUAUUUCCCCCGUUCUAAAUCACCAAAAGAUAAUCAAGGAUGAAGGAAAAACGUGAAAAAGUUUGAAACUGUAAAAGAAAAGAAUCGCCAAAAUUUUUGGAAUUUUACUUUUGUCGCCUUUGAAUUUCUAUGGCAUUAUAACUUUGCAAAGAAGGCGUGGAAAUGGAUUUCAGCUCAUAGAAGAAUUAAGUUGUUUGAUCAAGAUGAAUGUAGCUGGAAUCCUCUGAAUGUGGGAGAAAUUCUUUUAUGUGGUGAUGAUGCGUCUAGGGAAAACCCGGGUGUAGACGGUGCGGUGUGUGAUAACGCGUGAUAGUGAUUGCGAUGUGCUUGGGGCUGGGUACAACAACUAAUUACCUUGUGGAGUUGUAUGCAGUAUUGCUGGUUUGGAAUGGGCAUCAAAGUGGGGUGUUAGAAGAAUCUUGGUUCGUUCAGAUUCAAAAAGUGCUAUAAUUGUAUUUUCACGAAACAUGGUUCCUUGGUAUGUUCGUCAGAUAUGGAUUGGUGUUUGUUCUCUUUGUGACACUAUUAGUUAUGAACAUACCUUCCGUGAAGCUAAUUUUUCAGCGGAUGAUGGCGAAAAAAGGUUGUUUUUUUCCUAAGGGGGAAGGGAGUAAUUUUGAAGGAAGGCCAGAUUUCUUAUUUUCAGUUGAAUAUCCUAAUUAUUUUCAGUUAAAUUUGACAUUGCCUAUGAUCAAUUUUUAGAUGCCUAAUAUCAUAGGCUUG